UACGAAGGGGGCUAGCGUUGUUCGGAAUUACUGGGCGUAAAGCGCGUGUAGGCGGUUGGCCAAGUCGGGUGUGAAAGCCUUGAGCUCAACUCAAGAAAUGCACUCGGUACUGGGUGACUAGAGGACCGGAGAGGAUAGUGGAAUUCCCAGUGUAGUGGUGAAAUACGUAGAGAUUGGGAAGAACACCAGUGGCGAAGGCGGCUAUCUGGACGGUUUCUGACGCUAAGACGCGAAAGCGUGGGGAGCAAACAGG
RNAcentral lists this ribosomal RNA (253 nucleotides) under uncultured bacterium. Its description in RNAcentral is "partial 16S ribosomal RNA". It matches the Rfam family "Bacterial small subunit ribosomal RNA", at positions 524 to 776 of the family's 1533-position model. The record is from RNAcentral.